Molecule: long non-coding RNA, 301 nt
Filed under: Sparus aurata (gilthead seabream)
Lineage: Eukaryota; Metazoa; Chordata; Actinopteri; Spariformes; Sparidae
Description: lncRNA (ENSSAUG00010005286.1)
Source: RNAcentral
GAACGGGCCCUCGCAGUCCACGCGCGUCCAACCCGUCCACCAGCAGGGGGCGGCACCACACACACACACACACACACUGCAGUAAACCCGUCCACCAGCAGGGGGGUGGCACCACACACACACACACUGCAGUAAACCCGUCCACAAGCUGGGGGCGGCACCCCACACACACUGCAGUAAACCCGUCCACCAGCAGAGGGCGGCACCACACACACACACACACUGCAGUAAACCCGUCCACCAGCAGAGGACGGUACCACACACACACACUGCAGUAAACCCGUCCACUAGCAGGGGGCGG